Cyclopterus lumpus (lumpfish) is the source of this 3904-nucleotide RNA transcript. It is a transcript of the gene named ER degradation enhancer, mannosidase alpha-like 1, with no coding region annotated. NCBI's taxonomy places the organism in Eukaryota, Metazoa, Chordata, Actinopteri, Perciformes, Cyclopteridae. The transcript is spliced from 12 exons. The record is from RefSeq and is a predicted model, not a curated record.
CCAGGAGAUUUACAGCUCUGCGGCCAAUCGCAGGACGAGCUCGUUUCGCUAUUUCGCAUAACGAAACAAAGGAAGACCCAAUCACAGCCCAGGAUCUUGGAGGGGCCGGUCUGUUGACAGGAAGCGUGUGGGGUGGAAUCACCACAGCCUAUCUGUGCUUGUAGUGGAGCCUGACAAACAGAGGAUCUCACAGCCGUUCAUCUUUCAGACGUGUGUGGACUUAAAUUAUGCGUUUAAAGACCCAGCCGGGGCAAAUAUGCAAUGGAGGUCAAUAGUGGUUGGUCUGGUCGUAUUGAGACUCUCUCUCAGCUGUGUGCUGUGGCUAGCUUUCGGACUCGGACCUAAAGUUAGCUUGGGGUUCAACUUCCCACUUAGUUUCAGUUUGCACAAAUUAGACUCAUUAUUCAAGGACGAAAAGGGGACCGAUCCGGUGGGUAACUCGUGGUCUCAAAGAAUACCCGGCCACAGACAUGAAGAGGCGGCGACCACCUAUGCAAAGGUUGGAGAGGAGUCCCCCAAGAGAUCCUCCUACCUGAGCUUCUUCGAUGGCAACAAGGACGAGUACGUCCGGAAAUACAGCUCCUUCCCGGAUGCACUUAAAGCCAAAAUGAAGGACAUGGCCAAAGAAAUGUUUUAUUUCGGGUAUGACAACUACAUGAAAUAUGCCUUUCCCGAGGACGAACUGAAUCCCAUUGACUGUGAAGGGAGGGGACCAGACGUGCUAAACCCGUCAAACAUCAACAUAAACGACGUCCUGGGGAACUACUCCCUGACCUUGAUUGACACCUUAGACACCUUACUGGUGCUUGGCAAUGUGACCGAGUUCCACAAGGCUGUCAAACUGGUUAUAGAUACUGUGUCUUUUGACAAGGACUCUACAGUGCAAGUGUUUGAGGCAAACAUCAGGAUCCUGGGAGGCCUGAUCUCAUCUCACAUCCUGCUGACGGACCCGAAACAUCCAUUCGGCAAGGUCGGCUUUGAUGAUUACGAUAAUGAGCUGCUUCACUUGGCUCAUGACUUGGCUGUCCGCUUACUACCGGCCUUUGAGAACACCAGCACAGGCAUCCCUUACCCCAGGGUGAACCUGAAGACUGGAGUUCCUCCUGAUAGCAUCAAUGAGACUUGUACGGCGGGAGCUGGGUCCCUGCUGGUGGAGUUUGGGAUUUUGAGCCGCUUGAUUGGAGAUUCGACAUUUGAGUGGGUGGCCAGGCGAGCUGUUAGAGCUCUGUGGAACCUGCGGAGCAACGAAACCGGUCUGUUGGGGAAUGUAGUUAAUAUCCAAACAGGCCAGUGGGUUGGCAAACAGAGCGGUCUGGGAGCUGGUAUGGACUCCUUCUAUGAGUAUUUGCUGAAAUCGUACAUCCUAUUUGGUGAGAACGAGGACCACAGGAUGUUCCAAGCUGCCUAUGAGAGCAUUCAGAACCACAUGAGGAGAGGGAGAGAGUCAUGUAAUGAAGGAGAGGGGGACCCACCCCUUUAUGUUAAUGUGAACAUGUUCAGUGGUGAAAUAAUGAACACCUGGAUCGACUCCCUUCAGGCCUUCUUUCCUGGCCUGCAGGUGCUGAAUGGGGAUGUCGAUAAUGCAAUUUGCCUGCACGCCUUCUACUAUGCCAUCUGGAAGCGCUUUGGGGCUUUGCCAGAGAGAUACAACUGGCAGCUGCAGGCUCCUGACGUGCUCUUCUACCCCUUGAGACCCGAGCUGGCUGAGUCAACAUAUCUGCUGUACCAGGCGACCAAAAAUCCUUUCUAUUUGCAUGUUGGAAUGGAUAUUCUUCAGAGCCUUGAAAAAAAUACCAAAGUCAGAUGUGGGUACGCCACUCUCCACCACGUCGUGGACAAAUCCAAAGAGGAUCGCAUGGAGAGCUUCUUCCUCAGUGAGACCUGCAAAUACCUUUACUUAGUAGCUGUUUGAUGAGGACAACCCACUUCACAAAUCCGACAACAAGUACAUCUUCACUACAGAGGGCCAUGUUGUGCCGGUAGAUAAGCGCUUCAGGGAGAAACAGUGGAACGACUUUCCCUGUGAAGAGGGAGUGCUGGCAGAACUAGAGCCAAACAACCGGCCACCACCAAGCAACGCCAGCAAUUGCAACAGGAUCCCAGAGGAGCGACGGUACACUCUACCAUUGAAGAGUGUCUACAUGAGGCAGAUCGAUCACAUGGUGGGCCUUUUCUGAGUUGGAGGAUGCAUGAGCAGGCCUUCAGCCCUCCACUCCCCCAGGUGUGGAUGCUGUGAGGUCAAAAAAAGAAUCCACUGUCAAAAUCCUCCUCCCAUCUGUUCCGCUGCUCCGGAUCCAGACAGGAAACUGACACUAAAGGAAACGUGAGAAAGCAGCUGGACCACUUGCUGUAUUACUUAAAACUUACUGUGUGUGUGUGUGUGUGUGUGUGAGCAUGUGGUCGACAAAGGUGAACAGCUUUUGUGCUGUAAAAUUAGGAGUCAUGCUUCCUUACGUUUGCCUGGUGACGAAUUGAGAUUGUGCAAGUGGAUUUUAGAUUGUGUGCGUGUGUGUGCGUGUGUGUGUGUGUGUGUGUGUGUGUGCGCGCGUGUGUGGCUUUUUGUUAUUACAGCUGAGCUGUGAAUCAGUGCCAUCUAGCCACACAUGUACAACGUAUAGCCUACACAAACAACAUCUCUCUUGAAACAUGAUGACUAGUGCCUCUUUGCAGUGGAUUCACUUGACUAUAUCAGUGCUUUUUAAAUAAGGGCUGCACAUUAACAAACAUUGACAGUGGGGAAAUAGGCUCAGGAUGACUCGCUGUUUUAAAGUGCCUUAAAUGUUUUCUUAAUCUGGAUGCGGAACAGUGCAUAUUAUUUCUGGAUGAAAAUUUUAUUUUUUGAGGCCAUUGUCGGUAUUGCACAUAGAUGUCAUUCCAUGUGUAUGUAUUGUUUUACACUGAUUAUGACAUUAAGUUCCUUCUUUUUUUUAAUUUUAUUUUUACACAAAUUAAGCCAUAAAAUGUAUUUUUUAUGUUAAUGCGCAAACACGUGUUUGUUUCCCAUCAUUUGUCUGUCAGGUGUAUUAGGACACAGUCUCUCCUUCAUAGUUUAUUAUUGUUUGGAGUAGAUGGGAGUUUCCAUUUGCUGUUUCUUUGUUUCUCUGUCACUUAAUUGUACAUCAUCAUACCCAUUAAUUGCCAUGUGGUGAGAACUCAGGGUUAAAAGGAAAAACUCAAAUCAAUGAAUGCUUUCAUGUUGUUGCCGACAAUGUUUUAGGAUGGUUUACGGUAAUUAUAUUGCAAAUCUUCCAACUUGGUUAUCUGAGGUCAACAAAUAACCUCACUGAACUGAAGUACAGUUGUACUGUGAAUAUUCAUGAUUGUUCCAAACAUACAGAAACCUGUGUGAUGUCUUCUGAACUUGAUUUGUGUACAGCUCUACUGAAGCAUCUCUUCUGGGCUGGUUCAUAUGUUACCAAACAACCGGAGUGUCUAUAAGGCGCAGCAGAGCUUCAGGCUGCAUGGCUCGAUUACAUCACAGCAUCGGCAUCUUCUUUGGCUUUAGGAGACAGCUGUUCAUAUUGUCAAGUUUUGUCUGAACUGCUCCAGGCCACAGGAAUGAUUUCUCAGCAUUUUUAAUUUGGCUGAAACAACCCCGACCGCUCUGUCUCAGAUUAUCUUCAAAGAAACAGUGGGACAUUUUGGGAUUAUGCUUUCUUGCUAGGAGCUAGACGAAAUGGUCGCUUCCACUUUGUGCCAUUUUGGGACCCGUUAUCGUCUUGCAUGCAGAAUGUACCUGACAGACAUGAAAUAAGUAUCAAUCUUCUCACAUGACCUUGGGCAAGAAAGCGUGUAUUUCCCAAAAUGUCAAAUUAUGCCUUUAAUUUGUCUGAAAUUGAAGGUAAAGGCUGUUUACUUUUACUUGGUUUCAUAAUGCAAACAUUAAAUAACAGAUUAUGAUCAA